UUCAGAAGCCAUAACACCCUGCAACACCCUCACAACUGGCAACCCACUGAAGCUAAGCAGGUGUGAGCCUGGUCAGUACCUGGAUGGGAGACCUCCUGGGAAAAACUAAGGUUGCUGCUGGAA
Molecule: ribosomal RNA, 123 nt
Filed under: Lepisosteus oculatus (spotted gar)
Lineage: Eukaryota; Metazoa; Chordata; Actinopteri; Semionotiformes; Lepisosteidae
Source: RNAcentral